CGCGUAGGUGGUUUGUUAAGUUGGAUGUGAAAGCUCCGGGCUCAACCUGGGAACUGCAUCCAAAACUGGCAAGCUAGAGUACGGUAGAGGGUGGUGGAAUUUCCUGUGUAGCGGUGAAAUGCGUAGAUAUAGGAAGGAACACCAGUGGCGAAGGCGACCACCUGGACUGAUACUGACACUGAGGUGCGAAAGCGUGGGGAAGCAAACA
This 208-nucleotide ribosomal RNA is filed under the name uncultured bacterium. Its description in RNAcentral is "partial 16S ribosomal RNA". It matches the Rfam family "Bacterial small subunit ribosomal RNA", at positions 568 to 774 of the family's 1533-position model. The record is from RNAcentral.